UGUUAACACUUUCCAUAAGGCUCCUUUUUAUUUACUAGGUUUUCUUUCUGAAAAGGGACUGUUAACACUUUCCAUAAGGCUUCUUUUCAUUUACCAGGGCACUGUUCUUGUUAUGGAUCAGAUGGGAUACAAUG
This is a long non-coding RNA of Zea mays, 134 nucleotides long. RefSeq lists it as uncharacterized. The transcript has 3 exons. The record is from RefSeq and is a predicted model, not a curated record. NCBI's taxonomy places the organism in Eukaryota, Viridiplantae, Streptophyta, Magnoliopsida, Poales, Poaceae.